Molecule: non-coding RNA, 2485 nt
Organism: Oncorhynchus mykiss (rainbow trout)
Lineage: Eukaryota; Metazoa; Chordata; Actinopteri; Salmoniformes; Salmonidae
Source: RefSeq, a predicted model, not a curated record
UGAAAAGUUGCAUAUCGCGGGGGCUAUUUGAUGCUCAUGUCCGGCACAGGAUGAUUUUGUGCUGGUCAAGGGUAGUCAAGUAUGGAGUGAACUAAGGGCUAUAUCUGUUCUUAGUUCUACACUACGCACUUCAGCACUCGUCGGUCCAAGGUAUUGUGUGUCAGGAAAGGGGAUAGAUACUGAAUGCAUUCAACUGAAAUGUGUCUUGCGCAUUUAACCAAACCCCCUCUGAAUCAGAGAGGUGAGGGGCUGCCUUAAACAACGUCAUCAGGGAGCAGUUGUUGUUUGGGGUUAACUGCCUUGCUCAAGGAGAGAAUGGCAGAUUUUUACACCUUGCUGGAUCUGGGAUCCGAACCAACAACCUUUCGGUUACUGGUCCAACGCUCUUAACCGCUAGGCUAGCUGUAGAUGGGUGAGGAGAAAUUUAUUUUUUCAUCCUUUUGGAGUUGUGGAAUAAGUCAAGCGGUAUGAAUAUUUUCUGAAGGUACUGUACACAUUCUUCAAGGUAAGAGUUUUGUUUUGAAAGAAGCAUGAAUGCGUGAAAUAACUACAUCAAAAAGAGAAACACUUGUAUGACAUGAUGGAGUCUUUGAUCAAAUUUACCACAGACUUUUGUCACCCAAGUGCUAACCCAAUCAAUGCAAUUGUUCCCUGCUUUCAACCUAUUCUUUUAAGCUGGGUAAAAACACUUAAGGGGGAUGUAACACACUCCUCUGUUCUGAUCCACUUAGCCUGAAAGGAUCAAACAGAUAUCAGAGGGCUUUUAGAUACCUCUCCUUUAAUUUAGCAUUUUAGUAGGGAGAAAUCAAAGCCUUGUUUACUUUAUUGAUUGUUCUUUCAACCAUUCAAAGCUAAAGCAAAUCCCCUUUUCUGUCUCUCUUGUCCAGCUGUACAUGCUAAGAGUAUAGUGGCCAUUCUUCACCUGUUGCUGUCUUAACACUUCAGAGUACCAAUCAGACUUCCUGACCACGUGUCCAUCCAAGUAGUGCUGGUUCAGAAAAGGGAGGGAAUUCUUCAGUCCCGCCAGAUCCAGGAGGAAAUCACAGGCAAUACAGGGAAUGUCAGCUCUCAGCUCGGCUCUCAGCUCGCCUCUUUUCUCAUUGAUAGAACUCGCACCCCUCACUCAAUCUGUUAUGUCAGAGAUAGAGAGAGGUUUACCUUAGUACACCUUAGUAGUACCUUAGUACGCCACAUGAUAUCAUUGCCUCUCCCAAAAACACAAUGCCAUCUUAUUUCCAAUAUUUAGUACUUAUACAUUUUUCUCUCUCAAAUGCAAUCCCUCCUGCAGCCUUUAUGAAAGGCUAUUUUCUGAAAUAACUGCAUUCUAUUAUAGGUGUUCAAGCACAAUUGUUUCGCCAGCAUCAGUGAACACAGUAGACCAUUGUAUGGACAGGGAUGUGUGGUUCCUUGCCAGUGUAGCACAGCCCCAGCUGAGGUUGGAGCGGUCCAGCAGGCCCAGAGCAGCUGGGGAGAUAAGUGGGCGCGCAGUGCGCUCAUAUUAUAGUCAUGGUCACAGGGUUGUUAUCAUACGACCUGGACUGCUGCCCAGCCCUGCCACUGUCAUUAGAGAUUACACCAUGAAGAGAAGGAGCGCUGUGCCUGUGUGUGUGUGUGUCCAAGCCAUCCCUUGUUAGCCUCCUUUGUCUGAUAGCUGUUGGGAUGUUGCAGCAGCCCCUUGACCCAACAUGCCUGGCUCCUCUGACAAUACCACAAUGGAGACAUCCAUUUUGUUAAAUGUUCACCUAAGUUAACAUAUUAUAUACACCACCAACAUUCCUGUUUAUCUGGUUGACAUAAACGUAUCAAUAGGACUUGUAGAAUAGAAGUAUGCUGUUAUAUAAAUGUAAUUCAGUUCUUUGUCAGCUGUCCUUGCAGACCAAAUGUAGGUUUCGAACUUGUUUUCUUAUCGUUUCCCUCAGGGCUUUAUCUGGGAGACAUGAGCGAGAUGCUUUCGAAGCCCUGUUUGACCAUGCUCCAGACAAGCUCAAUGUGGUGAAACAGGUGUGCAACGUGUCCUUCUCCUUUGAGCAAGAUGAAGUCUGGAGAGACCCAGACCCAGGCCUGAAGAUAUUGCGAACUGUGACCUCAAGUCCACGCUGAUGGUCCUGUAUAAUCUCUUCACCAGAUACAGAAAUGUGGACUGAAUAUGUGGUGUUGUUGGCACUCAUUUUACUGGUAAAUAUUCAAUUGCAAUUUUCACAAUUGCAUGCUUCAAGGGAAGCCUUUUAAUUAUGCCAAGAGCACUACGAACCAAUCCAGGACAUUAAGCAUUUAUAUUAUGAAACAACAAUUUAGCAAUAGAUUGUACCAAAUAUUGUAUGUGCCAUAAUAAUAACUAUAAAUUGUAUGUGCCAUGUUUUACUUGUCUGCAACUACACUAAAUAUACAUUACCAGUCAAAAGUCAGGACACAUCUACUCAUUUCAGGGUUUUUCUUUAUUUGUACUGUUUUCAACAUUGUAGAACAAUAGUGAAGACAUCAAAAC